RNAcentral lists this ribosomal RNA (482 nucleotides) under uncultured bacterium. RNAcentral's name for it is "partial 16S ribosomal RNA". It matches the Rfam family "Bacterial small subunit ribosomal RNA", at positions 29 to 526 of the family's 1533-position model. The record is from RNAcentral.
AUUGAACGCUGGCGGCAGGCCUAACACAUGCAAGUCGAACGAGUGGCGGACGGGUGAGUAAUGUCUGGGAAACUGCCUGAUGGAGGGGGAUAACUACUGGAAACGGUAGCUAAUACCGCAUACCAUCGGAUGUGCCCAGAUGGGAUUAGCUAGUAGGUGGGGUAAAGGCUCACCUAGGCGACGAUCCCUAGCUGGUCUGAGGGGAUGACAUAAGAGGGGGGGUAGAGAGUGCCGUAGUGGAAUAUCCCUUGCGAGGGUAGGAGGAGAACCAGCCACGCGGGGACUGGGACACGGUCCAGACUCCUACGGGAGGGAGCGCGCAAUGGGAGCAAAGCUGAUGCAGCCAUGCCACGUGUAUGAAGAAAGCCUUCGGGUUGUAAAGUACUUUCAGCGGGGAGGAAGGGAAUAAAAUUAAUACCUUUGCUCUUGACGUUACCCGCAGAAAACACCGGCUAACUCCGUGCCAGCAGCCGCGGUAAUUC